RNAcentral lists this ribosomal RNA (497 nucleotides) under uncultured bacterium. Its description in RNAcentral is "partial 16S ribosomal RNA". It matches the Rfam family "Bacterial small subunit ribosomal RNA", at positions 28 to 507 of the family's 1533-position model. The record is from RNAcentral.
GACGAAUGCUGGCGGCGUGCCUAAUACAUGCAAGUUGAGCGCUGAAGGUUGGUACUUGUACCAACUGGAUGAGCAGCGAACGGGUGAGUAACGCGUGGGAAAUCUGCCUUUGAGCGGGGGACAACAUUUGGAAACGAAUGCUAAUACCGCAUAAAAACUUUAAACACAAGUUUUAAGUUUGAAAGAUGCAAUUGCAUCACUCAAAGAUGAUCCCGCGUUGUAUUAGCUAGUUGGUGAGGUAAAGGCUCACCAAGGCGAUGAUACAUAGCUGACCUGAGAGGGUGAUCGGCCACAUUGGGACUGAGACACGGCCCAAACUCCUACGGGAGGCAGCAGUAGGGAAUCUUCGGCAAUGGACGAAAGUCUGACCGAGCAACGCCGCGUGAGUGAAGAAGGUUUUCGGAUCGUAAAACUCUGUUGGUAGAGAAGAACGUUGGUGAGAGUGGAAAGCUCAUCAAGUGACGGUAACUACCCAGAAAGGGACGGCUAACUACGUG